AUACGGAGGGUGCAAGCGUUACUGGGAAUCACUGGGCGUAAAGCGCGCGCAGGCGGGCUGAUAAGUUGGAUGUGAAAGCCUACGGCUCAACCGUAGAACUGCAUCCAAAACUGUCAGUCUAGAGUCUGGGAGGGGAAGAUGGAAUUAGUUGUGUAGGGGUAAAAUCCGUAGAGAUAACUAGGAAUACCAAAAGCGAAGGCGAUCUUCUGGAACAGUACUGACGCUGAGGCGCGAAAGCGUGGGGAGUAAACAGGAUUAGAAACCCUAGUAGUCC
Molecule: ribosomal RNA, 274 nt
Filed under: uncultured bacterium
Lineage: Bacteria
Description: partial 16S ribosomal RNA
Rfam family: Bacterial small subunit ribosomal RNA
Source: RNAcentral